This is a non-coding RNA of Oryctolagus cuniculus (rabbit), 1999 nucleotides long. Lineage: Eukaryota; Metazoa; Chordata; Mammalia; Lagomorpha; Leporidae. The record is from RefSeq and is a predicted model, not a curated record.
GAGGUUUAGGGGGGCAGCUGUCAGUCCCUGAGUGGAGCGUGGGCCCCCUUCUGUCCAGCCCACUCAGGAGGGGCGCCAGCCAUCCCGGGGAAGGGCGGCCGCAGCGUCCAGUGAGUGGACACAAUGCCAGUAGGGCGGCUGGGGAGCUUCACCCGCGCUCAAAUGUCACCUUCAGGUAGUGCGAGUGAGUGAGCGUGAUGAUAACUGCCGAGACAUCGCCUGAGCGAGUGCCUGGCCUGGCCGGCUCCGGGCCUCCAGACACCCCCACCCCAGCCCCGGGUGCUAGGGGAGGGUUGAUGGAGAGGUCACGGGGGAGAUGGCUGGCCUGAUUUAUGGCUCUGUAAUGACAGCACUUAGCAUUCCAGCAGGGCUCUCAUCCCCAGCGCUCGGGCAGGAGGCAAACAGCCCUCGGCACCCUGGGCUCUCAGCUCCGGAAUCCGGGGUGUGGCCUGGAAGUGCAGGGCCCCUGUGGUGGGUGGGGGGUCUCCUCGCACUCUCAGAGUAGGGAGGGGUUUUCAGGAGCUCGUGGGGUGCCCACACGGGCCCUGGGGGCUCACUAUGUCCUGCGGUGGGGGGGCUUGUUCUGGUCCUUGUUUUCACACAGGUCGGCCAAACCCUGGCCGCAGUGUAGGACGAGCGCGGCACAGUUCCGGUGGCCGAGGACCGAGUGGGUGUGUGGCUGCCCCCAGCUCCAGUCAUUCUGCAGCGUGUAUGCUUGUUCCUGGUCACUGUUUGAGGGGGGCUCGGUCAUUUCUCAGCAAGAGGACUGACGGGCAGAGCAAGUGAAGCCGGCCUGGGUCGGCCAUGAUGGUGAUGAAGGCUGGCCACGCCCCCUGGACUUGUGCAGUGCACACGGUGUGGGGGUGGGGUGUGGGCAGCACAGCCCACAGCCUGGGAGACAAGGCAGGGUCAAGGCCUGGCCGAUGCCCCAGAGGCCAGAAUCUGGGUGAGGCCACCGCAGCCGGAGCUGACCGCUGAGGCGAGGGGAGCCCCCACCCUGGGGACCCAGCGUUCACCACCACCAGCUCCGCCUCCCUGGAGCUCGACGACUCUGACCUUGAGACGGUUCAGACAGCAAGCAGCUCCCGGCUCCUGCAGCUGCCCCCGCCUGGAGUGGACCGACCGGCUGAGCUGCCCUCCCAGUCACGGGGUGUGCACCGGAGCCCGCCCAGGAAAGCGCUUCGCUAAGCCCCUGAGCAGGCUCGGCCAGCCGGGACGGCGGGGCACGCCCAGGCCCACACCCGCCGGGCAGACUGGCCCUUCCGGCACCAGGCCGGCCGCCCUCCCUGCCCUGCCGGGGACUCUCUCCCACCCCCGGAAGCUGAGCAGAACACGAGGGGCAGGAAGGGGCAGGGUUCCUAGCAGCAGGCUUCCCAGGGAAACACGCCGGCUUCUGAGUCGAACCUGUGAGGUUGUGGCGGCUCAGGCUCCCGACUCCGGGAGCGGAGGACUUCGGGGCAGGGUCUCCGAGGAUCCCCGGGGGGGGGUGCCAGGUGCCCCCCGGGUCUCAGCCCAUCUCCUGUCUGGGAGGGGCCCGCACCCAGUGCAGGCGUCUCCCGUUCCCAGUGCAGGCGUCUCCCGUUCCCAGUGCAGGCGUCUCCCGUUCCCAGUGGGAGGCUUUGCAUUUUGCAGGCCAACGGGAAGAUGUUUCACUUAGAGGCAGCGACGGCUGAAGCGGCUUUUCUAGGCAUGCACAGGGGUCCGAGAGCCGGAGAACCCACAGCAUCCCAUACAGGCACCAAUUCCUGUCCCGGCUGCUCCUCUUCCGAUCCGGCUCUCUGCUGUGGCCUGGGAAAGCAGUAGAAGAUGGCCCAAGUCCUUGGUCCCCUGCACCCACGUGGGAGACCUGGAAGACGCUCCGGCCGUUGCGGCCAAUUGGGGAGUGAACCAGCGAAUGGAAGACCUCUCUCUGUUUCUCCCUCUCCCUGUCUGUAACUCUGUCUCCCAAAUAAAUAAAUAAAAUCUUUUUAAAAGUAAAAUAAAAAAUACACUUUGCUCA